This 1802-nucleotide ribosomal RNA is filed under the name human gut metagenome. RNAcentral's name for it is "bacterial LSU rRNA". It matches the Rfam family "Bacterial large subunit ribosomal RNA", at positions 175 to 1977 of the family's 2925-position model. The record is from RNAcentral.
GGAGGCUAACGCAGGGAACUGAAACAUCUUAGUACCUGCAGGAAAAGAAAAUAAACAAUGAUUCCCCCAGUAGUGGCGAGCGAACGGGGAACAGCCCAAACCAUCCAUGUUACGGCAUGGGUGGGGUUGUAGGACUACGCCGUUGCAUGAAGACAUCAGAGAAGAACUUUCUGGAAAGAAAGACCAUAGAGCAUGACAGUUGCGUAUUCGAAUGUUGUCUAAGCAUAGUAGUAUCCUGAGUAGCGCGGAGCACGAGGAAUUCUGCGUGAAUCUGCCGGGACCAUCCGGUAAGGCUAAAUACUCCCGAGAGACCGAUAGCGAACCAGUACCGUGAGGGAAAGGUGAAAAGCACUUCGAACAGAAGAGUGAAAUAGUUCCUGAAACCGUGCGCCUACAAGCGGUCGGAGCUCGUUAAUGAGUGACGGCGUGCCUUUUGCAUAAUGAACCUACGAGUUGCCUUUGCCGGCAAGGUUAAGUGUGACGACACACGUAUCCGAAGCGAAAGCGAGUCUGAACAGGGCGUAUAGUCGGCAGUGGCAGACGCGAAACCAAGUGAUCUACCCUUGGCCAGGUUGAAGGCUGGGUAACACCAGCUGGAGGACCGCACCAAUAAGCGUUGAAAAGCUUCUGGAUGAGCUGAGGGUAGGGGUGAAAGGCUAAUCAAACUUGGAGAUAGCUCGUACUCCCCGAAAUGCAUUUAGGUGCAGCCUUGCGGGUUACUGAUGUGAGGUAGAGCGACUGAUAAGAUGCGAGGGCUUCACCGCCUAUCAAGUCUUGACAAACUCCGAAUGCGCAUCAGUUCUACCGCAGGAGUGAGGGCAUGGGUGCUAAGGUCCGUGCCCGAGAGGAGAAGAAUCCGGACCACCUGCUAAGGUCCCGAAAUGACAGCUAAGUUAAACUAACGAAGUCUGACUGCUAAGACAGCUAGGAUGUUGGCUUGGAAGCAGCCAUUCAUUUAAAGAGUGCGUAACAGCUCACUAGUCGAGGAGUCGGGCGUGGAUAAUAAUCGGGUAUUAAGUUGUCUACCGAAGCAGUGGGAUCAUUAAUAUGAUCGGUAGGGGAGCAUUCCAGUCAGCGUCGAAGGCGUACCGUGAGGUAUUCUGGAGCGUCUGGAAAAGCAAAUGUAGGUAUAAGUAACGAUAAAGGGGGCGGGAAACCCCCUCGCCGAAAGACUAAGGUUUCCUGAUCAACGCUAAUCGGAUCAGGGUCAGUCGGGUCCUAAGGCUCAGCCGAACGGCGAGGCCGAUGGCAGAACCGGUUAAUAUUCCGGUACUACCUGUGGGAGUGACGUGGAGACGGAGUCGUGACAGCGCCGCGGACUGACGGAAUAGUCCGUUGAAGGGUGUAGAUGCUGAUUGUUCCAGGCAAAUCCGGAGCAAGAGUCGAACCUGAUAGUAUGGAGCGUUCUUAGAACAAUCCAAUAGUGCGUGUAAUCAUACUUCCAAGAAAAUCCGCUAAACUUAAUCCUGCAGGUACCCGUACCGCAAACGGACACACGUAGUCGGGAUGAAUAUUCUAAGGCGCUUGAGUGAUUCACGGUUAAGGAACUAGGCAAACUGACCCUGUAACUUCGGGAUAAAGGGUCCUCAGGGUGACUUGAGGCGCAGAGAAUCGGUCCAGGCAACUGUUUAACAAAAACACAGGGCUGUGCAAAAUAGAAAUAUGAAGUAUACAGCCUGACACCUGCCCGGUGCUGGAAGGUUAAGAGGAGAUGUCAUCGCAAGAGAAGCAUUGAAUUGAAGCCCCAGUAAACGGCGGCCGUAACUAUAACGGUCCUAAGGUAGCGAAAUUCCUUGUCGGGU